GGCCGAAAGGCGUAGUCGAUGGGAAACAGGUUAAUAUUCCUGUACUUGGUGUUACUGCGAAGGGGGGACGGAGAAGGCUAUGUUGGCCGGGCGACGGUUGUCCCGGUUUAAGCGUGUAGGCUGGUUUUCCAGGCAAAUCCGGAAAACCAAGGCUGAGGCGUGAUGACGAGGCACUACGGUGCUGAAGCGACAAAUGCCCUGCUUCCAGGAAAAGCCUCUAAGCAUCAGGUAACAUCAAAUCGUACCCCAAACCGACACAGGUGGUCAGGUAGAGAAUACCAAGGCGCUUGAGAGAACUCGGGUGAAGGAACUAGGCAAAAUGGUGCCGUAACUUCGGGAGAAGGCACGCUGAUAUGUAGGUGAAGCGACUUGCUCGUGGAGCUGAAAUCAGUCGAAGAUACCAGCUGGCUGCAACUGUUUAUUAAAAACACAGCACUGUGCAAACACGAAAGUGGACGUAUACGGUGUGACGCCUGCCCGGUGCCGGAAGGUUAAUUGAUGGGGUUAGCGGUAACGCGAAGCUCUUGAUCGAAGCCCCGGUAAACGGCGGCCGUAACUAUAACGGUCCUAAGGUAGCGAAAUUCCUUGUCGGGUAAGUUCCGACCUGCACGAAUGGCGUAAUGAUGGCCAGGCUGUCUCCACCCGAGACUCAGUGAAAUUGAACUCGCUGUGAAGAUGCAGUGUACCCGCGGCAAGACGGAAAGACCCCGUGAACCUUUACUAUAGCUUGACACUGAACAUUGAGCCUUGAUGUGUAGGAUAGGUGGGAGGCUUUGAAGUGUGGACGCCAGUCUGCAUGGAGCCGACCUUGAAAUACCACCCUUUAAUGUUUGAUGUUCUAACGUUGGCCCGUAAUCCGGGUUGCGGACAGUGUCUGGUGGGUAGUUUGACUGGGGCGGUCUCCUCCUAAAGAGUAACGGAGGAGCACGAAGGUUGGCUAAUCCUGGUCGGACAUCAGGAGGUUAGUGCAAUGGCAUAAGCCAGCUUGACUGCGAGCGUGACGGCGCGAGCAGGUGCGAAAGCAGGUCAUAGUGAUCCGGUGGUUCUGAAUGGAAGGGCCAUCGCUCAACGGAUAAAAGGUACUCCGGGGAUAACAGGCUGAUACCGCCCAAGAGUUCAUAUCGACGGCGGUGUUUGGCACCUCGAUGUCGGCUCAUCACAUCCUGGGGCUGAAGUAGGUCCCAAGGGUAUGGCUGUUCGCCAUUUAAAGUGGUACGCGAGCUGGGUUUAGAACGUCGUGAGACAGUUCGGUCCCUAUCUGCCGUGGGCGCUGGAGAACUGAGGGGGGCUGCUCCUAGUACGAGAGGACCGGAGUGGACGCAUCACUGGUGUUCGGGUUGUCAUGCCAAUGGCACUGCCCGGUAGCUAAAUGCGGAAGAGAUAAGUGCUGAAAGCAUCUAAGCACGAAACUUGCCCCGAGAUGAGUUCUCCCUGAGACUUAGAGUCUCCUGAAGGAACGUUGAAGACGACGACGUUGAUAGGCCGGGUGUGUAAGCGCAGCGAUGCGUUGAGCUAACCGGUACUAAUGAACCGUGAGGCUUAACCUU
Molecule: ribosomal RNA, 1547 nt
Filed under: Escherichia coli
Lineage: Bacteria; Pseudomonadati; Pseudomonadota; Gammaproteobacteria; Enterobacterales; Enterobacteriaceae
Description: partial 23S ribosomal RNA
Rfam family: Bacterial large subunit ribosomal RNA
Source: RNAcentral